RNAcentral lists this ribosomal RNA (109 nucleotides) under uncultured bacterium. Its description in RNAcentral is "partial 16S ribosomal RNA". It matches the Rfam family "Bacterial small subunit ribosomal RNA", at positions 1373 to 1482 of the family's 1533-position model. The record is from RNAcentral.
CCCGGGCCUUGUACACACCGCCCGUCACACCAUGGGAGUGGAAUCCGCCAGAAGUAGGUAGUCUAACCGCAAGGGGACGCUUACCACGGUAGGUUUCAUGACUGGGGUG